This 128-nucleotide ribosomal RNA is filed under the name Candidatus Alectryocaccobium stercorigallinarum. RNAcentral's name for it is "partial 23S ribosomal RNA". It matches the Rfam family "Bacterial large subunit ribosomal RNA", at positions 2796 to 2925 of the family's 2925-position model. The record is from RNAcentral. Lineage: Bacteria; Bacillati; Bacillota; Clostridia; Eubacteriales.
CCCUUAAGAUGAGAUAUCCCAGACGAAAGUCAUAAGACCCCUUGAAGACGACGAGGUAGAUAGGGCAGAGGUGGAAGCACCGAGAGGUGUGGAGCUGACUGUUACUAAUCGGUCGAAGGCUUGACCAA